RNAcentral lists this microRNA precursor (83 nucleotides) under Bombyx mori (domestic silkworm). RNAcentral's name for it is "mir-2807 microRNA precursor family". It matches the Rfam family "mir-2807 microRNA precursor family". The record is from Rfam by way of RNAcentral. Lineage: Eukaryota; Metazoa; Arthropoda; Insecta; Lepidoptera; Bombycidae.
UUAACUCAACUAUGUUGAAAUUGGGACGUUUGCCUACGUUUGCCGCUAGGGGCGCUGUUCCAACUGCAUACAAAUUUAAGUUA